Molecule: small nuclear RNA, 127 nt
Organism: Rattus norvegicus (Norway rat)
Lineage: Eukaryota; Metazoa; Chordata; Mammalia; Rodentia; Muridae
Product: U2 spliceosomal RNA
Source: Ensembl
ACUGCUUUUUAGGCUUUUGGCCAAAAUCAGGUGUAGCAUCUGUUCUUAACAGUUUGCUAUCUGAUGUGCUCUCUCUGUUUUUGGAGUAAGGGGGGAUGGAUAGGAACAUGCUAUACACUGAUCCCUA